AGGCUGAAGCUCUUAAAGGCUCCUCCACCUCCCAGUUGAGCUGUAGGAUGAAAACAAGCCCUGGCAUUCCAGGCCUUUGGCAAAGCAACGUUGAAGAUCCAAACAAGAAUAUUUCAAGGCAGUGGUGGUCAGUGCCAUUGGGUGUUGUUAUGUCAACAAGAAAAGGAUCCUCUUGGAAGGAUGACCUAGCUGGGUCAUUUGUUGGGGGAAUUUGACAUCAACCUUCAGAUCUCUCCUUUUGGGCCAUCUGAGAAGCUUCCAGCAUCCUGCCGAGCAUGUGAAGACCUGCCUGAUCUGCAAGCUGAGAGAAAAUAGUCUUACUCCAACUCCCAUGAUUUCUAUGCUUUUCGGACUCUGGCCCUUUGCUGUGUCUGGUGUUGUGGUCUUGACACUUUCGUCUUCUCCAUAGACUGAACCUCCAGCCUCCUGAUGGAGUUGGGGGAGGCAUCACCAACUGCUUCUCCAGCACUGUUCAGGUCUGUUCCAUAAGACUGUCUUCCAGUGGAGUCCAGGGCAGUCAAUUUCUGUUCAAGGAUGCUGCAUUUGAAAGCCAUGGGAGCUCACUGCCCUGCACUCCCAGACCUAGCUCCCAUUUGCUGCCCAGCUUUGAAAGCCUUGCUGCUCCAUCUCUUCUUCUCUCCCACCCCACUAUUUACCUUAGCAUGGUAGGCUUUCUGGAGAAGGUGUAAUAAAAUUUGGGCAUUCAGUCUAUUGCUUGCAUUCAGAAAUCCACACGAGAGCUUGUCCAUCCUGAAAGCCUAUCUGGCUUCUGUAGAAGAGGAAAAGCACCAGCAAGUCUUGUCCCCUCAGUUAUUAUGUAUAUAUCAACAUCCUAGACCAAGCUUGCCUCACCUAGCUGUGUAGCAGCUAGACAACCAAAGCAACCCACAUGUGUGGCUGACUACACAGUCUUAGGUUUUGGAGUCGUACUUGGAGCUGUCAUCAUCUAUUGGAGGAUGCUGAAUUUCCUUAUAUAAAAUGUUGAAGUCUUUGCAUACAACUUACAAACCUCCAUUGUUUACUCUGUCA
This 1029-nucleotide long non-coding RNA is filed under the name Cricetulus griseus (Chinese hamster). RNAcentral describes it as "lncRNA (ENSCGRG00000024468.1)". The record is from RNAcentral. Lineage: Eukaryota; Metazoa; Chordata; Mammalia; Rodentia; Cricetidae.